RNAcentral lists this ribosomal RNA (569 nucleotides) under uncultured Sistotrema. Its description in RNAcentral is "eukaryotic LSU rRNA". The stretch from base 160 to 313 matches the Rfam family "5.8S ribosomal RNA". Lineage: Eukaryota; Fungi; Basidiomycota; Agaricomycetes; Corticiales; Corticiaceae. The record is from RNAcentral.
GUUGACUGCUGGCAGUUUUGACUGCAUGUGCUCGCUCUCCUAGUCCAAUUUACACCUGUGCACUUAGUUUUGAAGGCAGGAUUAAAUCUGCUUUCGAAAUCCACAAACUCUUGUUUUAAAAUAUUGGAUGUUUGUCUGCCGUAUGGCGAAAUGAAAUACAACUUUUAACAACGGAUCUCUUGGCUCUCGCAUCGAUGAAGAACGCAGCGAAAUGCGAUAAGUAAUGUGAAUUGCAGAAUUCAGUGAAUCAUCGAAUCUUUGAACGCACCUUGCGCUCCCUGGUAUUCCGGGGAGCACGCCUGUUCGAGUGUCAUGAAACUGUCAAGCAAGAUAGAUUUGUUUUCUAUCUCUGUUUGGAUUUGGACUCUGCUGCGUCAAUGCGGCUAGUCUUAAAUAUAUUAGCUGGUCCUAGUGAAGGUUUGGUUCUACUCAGCAUGAUAAUUAUCUGGUGUUGAGGACAGUCUCAGGACUGGCCAGACUCUCCUCUGGAUUGCUUCUAAUUGUCUUUAGACAAAUUGCUCAAUAUCUGACCUCGAAUCAGGCGGGACUACCCGCUGAACUUAAGCAUA